GAAUUUCACCUAGUGAUUGAAGUAAAAAGUCGUAACAAGGGUUUCCCGUAGGGUGAACCCUGCGGAAAGGAUCCAUUAAAUGAAAUUUGAAGCCUGUCGCUGGCUUACGUGAUUCUAGCAUGUGCA
RNAcentral lists this ribosomal RNA (126 nucleotides) under Leccinum roseofractum. Its description in RNAcentral is "partial 18S ribosomal RNA". The record is from RNAcentral. Lineage: Eukaryota; Fungi; Basidiomycota; Agaricomycetes; Boletales; Boletaceae.